GUUGGGCUUCCAGCCGCUCCAAAUCACCUCCUGGGUCCAUGUGACCGACCCCUGCAUCCAGACAUGUAGGAGGUGGGGAGGUGAGGCAGCAUGAUGGGGCUACUGCUGAAGAGGCCUGGAGACGAGGAGGCUCAGAAGCCUCUGAGUUCCAGGGCAGAUCAGCUUCCAGCUGGCUCAGGCCCACCUAAAGGCUAAUUUCAUAAAACCUAUCUUCAAUCACUUCACAAAUGUUCAUAAGCCACAACUCUUCUGAUGAC
RNAcentral lists this long non-coding RNA (257 nucleotides) under Monodelphis domestica (gray short-tailed opossum). Its description in RNAcentral is "lncRNA (ENSMODG00000050523.1)". The record is from RNAcentral. Lineage: Eukaryota; Metazoa; Chordata; Mammalia; Didelphimorphia; Didelphidae.